This is a long non-coding RNA of Nematostella vectensis (starlet sea anemone), 4994 nucleotides long. RefSeq lists it as uncharacterized. The record is from RefSeq and is a predicted model, not a curated record. The transcript has 2 exons. NCBI's taxonomy places the organism in Eukaryota, Metazoa, Cnidaria, Anthozoa, Actiniaria, Edwardsiidae.
CCUAUGACAGAAACGCACAAAAAAGGUUAAGUUUAUUAUUUACCGCAUCUAGAAAGUUAGGACUCACACUACAGCACCACACGAUCUUUGCGCGCGGUGGGGAGAUGAUGAAUUUGUGGGAAAUAAGUUUGCUGGAAACAAACACACGUGUGCAAGGAAGCCAAGCCCGAGUAAUUAGCAAAUGUGUUAGGUAAACUAAUUACAGAUCCCAGCGAUGCCGUCACCGCAUCGAAACUGCGGUUAAAUUUCACAAAAUCCAGCCUCUGGUUUAAGAGCUCGCCAACCAACAUGGUUUUCUCCGAGGUCAAGGAGAGUGCAUUUAGUCUUUUUAUUCCGUGCUCGAGCGACUACGGGAAGGAUGAAACACGGUACUUGACCGAAGCUUAUUGAUGAGUCUCUUAGCUAGGGUUUAGCGCAUGUAGAGUAAUCAACGGAGUAAAAUUUGCGCGUUUAUGUGAAUAAUAUCUCGACUUCGUGACCGGUUUUCGAAGACGCGCGCCAACAUGGUGCUGUCUUUUACUGGGAAAUAUUGACAGACAUCGAGUUUAAAAAUCCCUCCCGCACGGUGACUAACAAUAGUGGGGGAGCAGAUAGUGAUCACUUAGCAAAUCUAAAAGAGCUCAUCAACGCUUGUAAAUUAGAUCGUCGCAUUCCCGCCCCCCAAAUCUUCCCAACAUCAUACAUUAUAGAUAACGCCAGAGUUAAGUGUAAAUGGUAGAGACCUUACAGAUUACGAAUCGACUACACGCUAGCAGAGAAGAUGUUGUUUAUGAGUCCUAAUAAUUUUGGUGACAGUAAAUUAGAAAAUGUCAGACUUCACCUCCAUUUCAGAUAUUUGCCCGUGGUUAUUUGCUGUAGUUUCCUGUGUGAAUUAACGUUUUACCUCACAUCAUAAAAUGUAAUGAAAAGAAACUCCGAGCAUAGUUGUUCUUUGUCUCACAUUCUUUUAUUUAGAUGCCCCAUUAAAAGGCACUUAAAAGAAGUAAUGUAAUCUUUAACGUUUGCCGAGAAACAGUUAGUUUAUUGCUAAGAAGUGGCGAAAGAAAGCUUUCAACGCGAGCCCCCGGAGAAACGUAAUAUUUGCUGCAUGUUGCUUCUCGGCCAAAGCAGUGACUCGCGCGCGUGCAAAGAAACAAAGGCAGUUAGAGAUUUAAGAGUUCAGACUUAGGUCAUGGCACACGAGCGAGUUAUUGUAUUGUAAAGCAGCCUUUUGAGAACUAAUUUGAAUAAAAAUCAAAGAAAUAUCAACAAGGUACGCAUAGAACAAGAAUACGGAAAUGGAGCAACCACGACCUCAGUCUUGGCAAUGUUGAGCGCAGAUCAACACCACAACUUUCUUUAUAAUAAUAUCGCUUUAUUUUGCUUUUGGCAAACUGCGAACAAAGACAGAAAGCGUUUUGCUUUGUCUGUUUUGUAUCGCGGUUGUUGUUCUGUACAUAGGGAAUUAGGUCAUCUUAAAGAGAGAUAAACAUCUCCAGAAAGAAAGCUCGCGUGGCAAGAUCGUACGCAGAACGUUGUUCCUUGACAACGAAAACUUGCAGAAAGCUGAUUUACCGAAAAGAAAGCUAUAAGAGCGCUUGCAACGAAUGGAAUUGGCACAUAAGAUCGUUUAAGGCGCUAAUUUGCCAGCAGUGAAGGGAUUCUUCCGCGUUCGAGGGAAAGCGCACAGCGAGAAGCAAGAGGAAGUAUCGAGACCAACAAAAGAACGAAUCAAGAAAGCGAUAUCGACCGUUAUAUAGCGUCUCUUUGAUAGAGCCGAAGGUUUAGUGCCGCGGCAAACAAAAAUACGGAUUCUUUUUUAGGUCUCCGAUGUUUUUACUGUACUUUACGAGUUUCCUGCAUUUUCGCGAAAAAUUGCAGUGAGCUCGCUGACCGCCGAAUUGGAAUUGACCCUUUCGGCAGGGUUUGUAAAUAAUUUGAAAAUUGUAAAUAUAAACAAACUUGAAUCUUUAUUCUGAUUUUGGGGAAAUCAUAUUAUCAAAGGAGGGGAUAGUCUUCCAAUACAUACGCGUGAAGACAAAAAAAACCGUGGUUCGAAUUACAAAAAAUCGGGAAAAGUGUAAAAAAUACACAGGGAAAUAGACUAAACAGUUGUCGUCUAGUUUCAGGGCUAAUUCUUAUUAUGUUUUUAAGGAUUUUUAAAAUAUAUUAGAAUUAAAAUGAACGAAAUACAAAACAUUGAAAUAAAAAUACAUGUUUUUUUUACAAAUACACAACUUAAGGUUUAAAAUGGUAAAUUAUAAUAAACCUGUGAGUUUUGAAAAUUAUGUGAAUGAUGGACGUUGCACAACUUUGUAAAGAUAUAAUAAAAUAAACAUUUCCAUUGCUUACUCCAGGUUAUCAGACCUCUCCACAGAAAAUCAAAAGAUUGGUGCAAAAAAGUCAAAUCACUCAAUUAAGAAUCCAAAGUCAAAUACAUGAAAAAUCUUUUUAUACGAAGUUUAUAUAUCAAAAGAAAAAAAAAACGUGAGUAUUUAUCGUUUCUGGGGUGCCAUUUUUUUUCAUCCUGAGUGUGAGGUUUGGGGAAUCAUUUUCACCGAGUUUGAAAAAAGGUAUUAAGACUUUGUUUUAGUCUUAAAAUGUUGAAUGAACACAGUAACAUGUGUGGCUUUCUAUAGCUCCCUCAAAACCAUACAGUGAAGAUUGCUUAAUUUGUACUCCGUUUGUAUGUUACGAUUACUUCAUUCAAGUUUUCGAGCUUCUAUUUGAGCUAUUAUUUGGACUUUGAGCUUCUAUUUACUUAAAGUAUUCUUCCAUCUACUAAAUCGGUCUAAAAACGAUUUAUUGAGUGGUCCCAGUAUAGAUAUGUGGUACACCAAAAUGUAACGUCGAAUAUACUUUUAAAAAACAGGUCUAUUUUAUUGAAAUUUUUACAAAAAAAACGUAACUUCGUAAAAAAAAUCCCGCCUAAUAGCCAAGAGUAAAAAAAAGGAACGUUGCUAACAUGAAAUCAUCAGCCCCCCCCCCCCCCCCCCCUCAAAAGUUAAAUGGCCCGUCCCUUAUUGAGAGGUGCUGUGAGGCAGGUUCAACCGAGUCUAGAAAUGAAAUAAAUGCUGGCUGAUGAUAGCGCUUUUUGCACGGGGCUUCUUGAGGAUUUCUAUGUGGUAUUGGUGUUCGUACACCAAUACCACCAAUACCACCCCGGGCCUCCCCCAGCGGCUGAAACGCUGGGGGAGGCACGGGGGAGAGAGAGCAAGGAAGGCGGCAGGUAUAGGCACGGAGUUGUCGAAAUGGACUAUGGCAGCUAAGGUCAUAGCAUGAGCCUUUGAGUCUCCCUCGCAACCAGACAGGCAGGCAGCUAGGCAGCGCUUGAGUGCGAAGACUCCAGAACGGCUGCAGGAUACUAACUUACUCGGAGAGUGACCACAAAGAAUGCUUGCAGCCGUAAUGAGCUAUAAUUCGUUCAAUUUGAAGUUAGAGGUAUAACGAUGACUCGAGGUGUUUCCCAAUCAGAACUGAUAUGAACUCUGGCGACGAUUCGGCGAAUGCGGGGCACGAUAACUCGACAAUGCAUUUUACCAGAUUCGAUAAAAGAUUUCUUAUCUCGCUUAAAACACCGUACAGUCUACGUACUCGUGAUAACAACUCCACAAAUGAAACCAAAGAAUUCAAGUAACUUUAAAGUGUUUGCCAGUGGCUGGAUAAUAUAAAAAGAGAACAAAUCAAUUGAGGUUUAUAAGAAAGAAAUUUGAUUUCAAUUUUAACUACCCGUGAAAAAACUACCACAUAUAAAACCAAAGAAUGGCAGGAAAUGUUUAGACAGUGGCUGAUUAUGAAAAGAGAAUAUAUCAUUAAAGGUUUCUAACAAAGCAAUUUGAUAACUUUCUUCUCCUAACGAGUCAAUGUAAACAGUGUGUUAGACUUGUUAUACGCGAUGUUGAAAAUGUCUUUGUUUGAUCGUUUAGAUUUAGAUACACUGGAUGGGUUAAUAACAGACAUGCAACUGUUAUCCAAGUUUGUAAAAAAAAUGCUAUUUUAUAUAUAGUUAUUGUUAGAAUUCAGGAGUUGUUUACAAGAGCAUUACGAACACUAGUGUUGCUAUUUACAAUAAAAUUUAGAAGCUAUGUCUUAGUGAUUUUAGCUUGGCGUUUAAAUUCAUUCCUGUCAAAAUUACAUCUGAAUUCGUAUCAAGUAUAUCAAAAUUAAAUACUUUACCUAAGAAAAACAAAAACAACAAUAAACCAACCAAAACUGUAUAUGCAUGGCGGGAGUCAUUAACACUUUCAAGUCUUAAUUUUCCUUGAAUGGAGAAUGGCUCAUUAGGAACUUUUGGGGGUAAGAAGACACCCAAUGUGAAAAAUAUAUAUAUUGGAUAGGUUUUAAGUGUGACAGCUGAAAGCCACGAUGCGCAAGCGCCUGGGCGAAGAGACAGCUUAUCGCUUUGCAUGACAACGAGGCAGACGACCAGGUGCCUUUAUGGAGUCACCGGGAUAACCGUGAUGGAAUUUCACGCAAAAUAACCUCGCCUAAAGACUUCCAAAACCCCACUAUACACAGAAAAGUGCUCCCAAGAGUCAUGGGCUGUCUAAUCACACUAGAAGAGGGGAGGAGGUGUAUCUUAUGGUUUGAUUCCCAUUAAAGGGUAGUUGUAGUAUUUGAUAAGCAUGCCACGUUAUAACAACAUGAAGAAACACGUGUUUUGGGAGAGUGUUGGCGCCCACGCUAAAGACUCUAUCGCAAUAUAAACACCGCUUUCUCUACACUUAUCAUGCCGGCAGGCGACUAGAGACUUCUUGGAUCGGUAGACGCUGUCAGCACAUCUAAAAUCGCACUCUUGGAGGCUUUAAGACGGUGGAAUAUCCCUGGUGUGCUUUAGGAAUUAGAGCCACUUGCGUUGGGUUCUACAUUAUAAUUAGCGUAGCGUUAAGUAGGAAAGAAACACCUUUUGGGAAAGGUGAGAAAAACCAUUAUAAUAUAGGAAAAUAGAUAUUCAUAAACCUUAUUCAAUGAAAAAUAACCUUAAGUAUAACUUUGAAAUAAACAUAGUAAGUAAA